RNAcentral lists this long non-coding RNA (511 nucleotides) under Pan troglodytes (chimpanzee). RNAcentral describes it as "long non-coding RNA NONPTRT006976". Lineage: Eukaryota; Metazoa; Chordata; Mammalia; Primates; Hominidae. The record is from RNAcentral.
AAGGGCGCCUGCAGGACCAACGCUGGGGAGGCUGGUGUGGAGUCAGGCCCCAGAUGCCAGAGCCUCCAGGCUUCACUUGCAGGGCCUGGAGCCCAGCCUCCUAUUCAGCAACGAAGAGGCUGCUGUCCCCCAACGUUUACCCCACAAAACACGAGGACACAGGAAAGCGGAAAGCAAACAGCAAAUGCAAUGAGAGCCACAUAGGCCCGUGGCGCAGCCUCUGUACUAGCAAAGAGAAUCACUAGAGGGAAGAGAGGGUCCCCCGCGGCACAGGAGCGACUCGGCAGGAAGGGGAAGGGGCAGCAGACAGCAGACAGCAUCGCCCCAUGACACACGUGGCAACCAAAGCACAGACGCUGCUGGGUCCAUGCUCAGUGGAGGUUCUGACGCCCCUUUCCAUAGCCGGUGGGUGAAGGAGACAGAAGCUGGUGAUGAGAAUUUGUGCACACGAGCGUGGGUCAGGAGAAAUACCCACAACAUUGUGAAAAGGGACCAAAAAUCCCACGCAUUU